GUGGGCGUAGCUCAGCCUGGUCCAGAGCCCCGGAUUGUGGUUCCGGUUGUCGUGGGUUCAAAUCCCAUCGCCCACCCCA
RNAcentral lists this transfer RNA (79 nucleotides) under Candidatus Krumholzibacteriia bacterium. RNAcentral describes it as "tRNA-His". It matches the Rfam family "tRNA". Rfam says of the family: Transfer RNA (tRNA) molecules are approximately 80 nucleotides in length. Their secondary structure includes four short double-helical elements and three loops (D, anti-codon, and T loops). Lineage: Bacteria; Candidatus Krumholzibacteriota; Candidatus Krumholzibacteriia. The record is from RNAcentral.